RNAcentral lists this ribosomal RNA (531 nucleotides) under Petasospora americana. RNAcentral's name for it is "eukaryotic LSU rRNA". It matches the Rfam family "Eukaryotic large subunit ribosomal RNA", at positions 110 to 646 of the family's 3401-position model. Lineage: Eukaryota; Fungi; Ascomycota; Saccharomycetes; Phaffomycetales; Wickerhamomycetaceae. The record is from RNAcentral.
UAUCAAUAAACUUGUAGCAAAAUAGGUCCCUUGCGCUUGCUCGAGUUGGAAUUUGAAGGUCGUUUUCUGGUACUGGCCCUUGCCUAUGUUCCUUGGAACAGGACGUCAUAAGGGUGAGAAUCCCGUCUGAUGGGGUGUCCAGUGCUUUGAAGAUUUCUAUCGAAGAGUCGAGUUGUUUGGGAAUGCAGCUCUAAGUGGGUGGUAAAUUCCAUCUAAAGCUAAAUACUGGCGAGAGACCGAUAGCGAACAAGUACAGUGAUGGAAAGAUGAAAAGAACUUUGAAAAGAGAGUGAAAAAGUACGUGAAAUUGUUGAAAGGGAAGGGUAUUGGAUCAGACUUGGUGUUUUGUGAUUAUCUUCCCUUCUUGGGUUGUGCACUCGCAUUUCACUGGGCCAGCAUCGGUUCGGAUGGCAAGAUAAUGGCUUGGGAACGUGGCACUCUUCGGAGUGUGUUAUAUCCCUUGUUGAUGUUGCCUAUCUGGACCGAGGACUGCGGCUUCUGCCUAGGAUGCUGGCGUAAUGAUUCAAUACC